AUUGAACGCUGGCGGCAGGCCUAACACAUGCAAGUCGAACGGUAACAGGAAGAAGCUUGCUUCUUUGCUGACGAGUGGCGGACGGGUGAGUAAUGUCUGGGAAACUGCCUGAUGGAGGGGGAUAACUACUGGAAACGGUAGCUAAUACCGCAUAAUGUCGCAAGACCAAAGAGGGGGACCUUCGGGCCUCUUGCCAUCGGAUGUGCCCAGAUGGGAUUAGCUAGUAGGUGGGGUACCGGCUCACCUAGGCGACGAUCCCUAGCUGGUCUGAGAGGAUGACCAGCCACACUGGAACUGAGACACGGUCCAGACUCCUACGGGAGGCAGCAGUGGGGAAUAUUGCACAAUGGGCGCAAGCCUGAUGCAGCUAUGCCGCGUGUAUGAAGAAGGCCUUCGGGUUGUAAAGUACUUUCAGCGGGGAGGAAGGGAGUAAAGUUAAUACCUUUGCUCAUUGACGUUACCCGCAGAAGAAGCACCGGCUAACUCCGUG
RNAcentral lists this ribosomal RNA (490 nucleotides) under uncultured bacterium. Its description in RNAcentral is "partial 16S ribosomal RNA". It matches the Rfam family "Bacterial small subunit ribosomal RNA", at positions 30 to 507 of the family's 1533-position model. The record is from RNAcentral.